UGAUUAUGGUGAGGAAACUUUCUUUAGAAUAGCCUUGAAUCUUUCCGAAGCUUGGUAAAGAUUCUCUCCAUCGUUUUACCUAAAACUCAAAAUAUCAUGUCUCAAAUA
Capsicum annuum is the source of this 108-nucleotide non-coding RNA. Lineage: Eukaryota; Viridiplantae; Streptophyta; Magnoliopsida; Solanales; Solanaceae. The record is from Rfam.